RNAcentral lists this ribosomal RNA (603 nucleotides) under uncultured bacterium. RNAcentral's name for it is "bacterial SSU rRNA". The stretch from base 1 to 524 matches the Rfam family "Bacterial small subunit ribosomal RNA", at positions 338 to 873 of the family's 1533-position model. The record is from RNAcentral.
CCUACGGGAGGCAGCAGUGGGGAAUAUUGGGCAAUGGAGGAAACUCUGACCCAGCGACGCCGCGUGCGGGAUGAAGGCCUUCGGGUUGUAAACCGCUUUCAGUAGGGAAGAAGCGAAAGUGACGGUACCUACAAAAGAAGCACCGGCUAACUAUGUGCCAGCAGCCGCGGUAAUACAUAGGGUGCAAGCGUUGUCCGGAAUUAUUGGGCGUAAAGAGCUCGUAGGUCGUUUGUUACGUCGGAUGUGAAAACCUGAGGCUCAACCUCAGGCCUGCAUUCGAUACGGGCAAACUAGAGUUUGGUAGGGGAGACUGGAAUUCCUGGUGUAGCGGUGGAAUGCGCAGAUAUCAGGAGGAACACCAAUGGCGAAGGCAGGUCUCUGGGCCAAUACUGACACUGAGGAGCGAAAGUCUGGGGAGCGAACAGGAUUAGAUACCCUGGUAGUCCAGACCGUAAACGGUGGGCACUAGUUGUGGGAACCUUCCACGGUUUCUGCGACGCAGCUAACGCAUUAAGUGCCCCGCCUGGGGAGUACGAGUCGCAGAUAAACUACAAGAAGUAGACGGCGNGAGACGUGCCGACGGACGACGACGACGGGAGUAGG